AUUUCUCCUUCAGAAUCACUCAAUGGUUCUCUCCUGACAGACGCAGUCGAAGACGGAAGAUCCAAGAUGUCCGGCCUGAGGUUGUGGCUGACUUUGCUCUUUGCUGCUACUUUUCAACAAGGCCAGGCCGAGACCUUAUCAAAUAAAGGAGUUUUACUGAAGUGCAACAGAUCAGUGGAAGUUGAAGCUGGAGGAACUGUGACACUAACCUGCAAUGUGACUUACGACUUGGAGGACCCUACAGAUUGUGAAGCUAAAAAACUAACCUGUAAUGACGCAAAUAUCAGCAUAUAUGACAUCAAUAGAGUGAAUUACACUCAUGCCAUCAUGUCAGUGAACAUCUCACAAGUCCAGAAAAUGGGGAAUUACACCUUCAAAGUGAUGACAACUUGUGGUGGUGAUGUCUUUACGGUACAAAUGAACCAGCUCAUCA
This is a long non-coding RNA of Seriola dumerili (greater amberjack), 433 nucleotides long. RefSeq lists it as uncharacterized. The transcript is spliced from 3 exons. NCBI's taxonomy places the organism in Eukaryota, Metazoa, Chordata, Actinopteri, Carangiformes, Carangidae. The record is from RefSeq and is a predicted model, not a curated record.